CCUACGGGAGGCUGCAGUAGGGAAUUUUGCGCAAUGGGGGAAACACUGACGCAGCAACGCCGCGUGAUUGAUGAAGCCAUUCGGGGUGUAAAGAUCUGUCAGUGGGGACGCAACUUGACGGUACCCACAGAGGAAGCAUCGGCUAACUCCGUGCCAGCAGCCGCCGUAAUACGGGGCAUGCAAGCGUUGUCCGGAAUCAUUGGGCGUAAAGGGUUCGUAGGUGGCACGUUAAGGCUAGUGGUAAAGGCAGAGGCUUAACCUCUGUUCGGCACUGGAAACUGGCGGGCUUGAAUGUGGUAGAGGUAAAGGGAAUGCCUGGUGUAGCGGUGAAAUGCGUAGAUAUCAGGAAGAACAUCGGUGGCGUAAGCGCUUUACUGGGUCGUAAUUGACACUGAGGAACGAAAGCCAGGGUAGCAAAUGGGAUUAGAUACCCUAGUAGUC
RNAcentral lists this ribosomal RNA (441 nucleotides) under uncultured bacterium. Its description in RNAcentral is "partial 16S ribosomal RNA". It matches the Rfam family "Bacterial small subunit ribosomal RNA", at positions 338 to 795 of the family's 1533-position model. The record is from RNAcentral.